Molecule: ribosomal RNA, 253 nt
Filed under: uncultured bacterium
Lineage: Bacteria
Description: partial 16S ribosomal RNA
Rfam family: Bacterial small subunit ribosomal RNA
Source: RNAcentral
GACAGAGGGUGCAAACGUUGUUCGGAAUUACUGGGCGUAAAGCGUGUGUAGGCGGUCUGUUAAGUCGGGUGUGAAAGCCCUGGGCUCAACCCAGGAAGUGCACUCGAAACUGGCGGGCUAGAGUAUCGGAGAGGUUGGUGGAAUUCUCGGUGUAGAGGUGAAAUUCGUAGAUAUCGAGAGGAACACCGGUGGCGAAGGCGGCCAACUGGACGAAUACUGACGCUGAGACACGAAAGCGUGGGGAGCAAACAGG